RNAcentral lists this ribosomal RNA (492 nucleotides) under uncultured bacterium. Its description in RNAcentral is "partial 16S ribosomal RNA". It matches the Rfam family "Bacterial small subunit ribosomal RNA", at positions 29 to 507 of the family's 1533-position model. The record is from RNAcentral.
AUUGAACGCUGGCAGCAUGCUUUACACAUGCAAGUCGAACGGUAACAGGCCUUCGGGUGCUGACGAGUGGCGAACGGGUGAGUAAUGCAUCGGAACGUACCCAGAGGUGGGGGAUAACGCAGCGAAAGCUGUGCUAAUACCGCAUGUGAUCUGAGGAUGAAAGCGGGGGACCGAGCAGCAAUGUUUGGCCUCGCGCCUUUGGAGCGGCCGAUGUCGGAUUAGCUAGUUGGUGGGGUAAAGGCCUACCAAGGCGACGAUCCGUAGCUGGUCUGAGAGGACGACCAGCCACACUGGGACUGAGACACGGCCCAGACUCCUACGGGAGGCAGCAGUGGGGAAUUUUGGACAAUGGGCGCAAGCCUGAUCCAGCAAUGCCGCGUGCGGGAAGAAGGCCUUCGGGUUGUAAGCCGCUUUUGGCAGGAACGAAACGGUGUCCGCUAAUACCGGGCGCUAAUGACGGUACCUGCAGAAUAAGCACCGGCUAACUACGUG